GCUCAGUGUGGAGAUGAAGCAGUGUGUGGAGCAGCUGGCCUGUAGGGGGCAGUACACAGCAGGAACCAAGACUGAUGUCAGUGUUGCUUGACUGGUGUGGAGAACUGGAGUCCACCUGCUGGGAUGUGACCAGGCACUUCUGCUCAGCCUGAGUUUGAGGAUGAAAUUUAAAGACAAUGUUU
Molecule: long non-coding RNA, 182 nt
Organism: Scomber japonicus (chub mackerel)
Lineage: Eukaryota; Metazoa; Chordata; Actinopteri; Scombriformes; Scombridae
Exons: 3
Source: RefSeq, a predicted model, not a curated record